Molecule: ribosomal RNA, 357 nt
Filed under: Triticum aestivum (bread wheat)
Lineage: Eukaryota; Viridiplantae; Streptophyta; Magnoliopsida; Poales; Poaceae
Description: partial small subunit ribosomal RNA
Source: RNAcentral
AUGCAUCGCCAAGGCUUGAAUUGGGGUGCACUUCACAAAACUAUUACAUGCAGCAAAUUUUGUACUGUAGGAGAUAUGUACCUUGUGGAAGAAGUGCGCAUAGGAAGUCGCAGAGAGGCCAUUGCUCAUGGCAUUGUAGCAGUAUGGUUUGGUGAGAUUGGGGUCAAUAAGAAGCUAGUCCUGCCUGGCGUCGCUCUUGAAGAGGGUCUCUUCUUUAGUGUAAGAUUCCUUUGCACGGUGCAUCUUUUUUUUUUAGAACGAAGGCUCAAGACACGGUGCAUCUCCACACGAACGCAAAAACAUCAUCCUUGGUGCACAGUGGCUUCACCAAAUCCAUUGUCUCCCCAAGAAUCGUAG